RNAcentral lists this non-coding RNA (629 nucleotides) under Phaseolus vulgaris (common bean). Its description in RNAcentral is "rRNA LSU_rRNA_eukarya". It matches the Rfam family "Eukaryotic large subunit ribosomal RNA", at positions 667 to 1453 of the family's 3401-position model. The record is from Rfam by way of RNAcentral. Lineage: Eukaryota; Viridiplantae; Streptophyta; Magnoliopsida; Fabales; Fabaceae.
CAAGGAGUCUGACAUGUGUGCGAGUCAACGGGUGAGUAAACCUGUAAGGCGCAAGGAAGCUAAUUGGUGGGAUCCUUUUGUGGGUUGCACCGCCGACCGACCCUGAUCUUCUGUGAAGGGUUCGAGUGAGAGCAUACCUUUGGGGACCUGAACGAUGGUGAACUAUGCUUGAGCGGGGCGAAGCCAGAGUAAACUCUAGUGGAGGCCUGCACCGAUACUGACGUGCAAAUCGUUCGUCUGACUUGGGUAUAGGGGUGAAAGACUAAUCGAACCGUCUAGUAGCUGGUUCCCUCUGAAGUUUCCCUCAAAAUAGCUGGAGCCCGCAGGUGAGUUCUAUCGGGUAAAGCCAAUGAUUAGAGGCAUCGGGGGCGCAACGCCCUCAACCUAUUCUCAAACUUUAAAUAGGUAGGAUGGGGCGACUGCUCUGUUGAGCCGUGCCACGGAAUCGAGAGCUCCAAGUGGGCCAUUUUUGGUAAGCAGAACUGGCGAUGCGGGAUGAACCGGAAGUUGGGUUAUGGUGCCCAACUUGAUGGCAUUUCAUGAAGGUCUUCUUGAAUCAUGUAAGAAAAGUGGUGCGGAAGCUAUGAAGGUGUGUGAGCAAGAUCCUCCUAAGAGUGGUGUUGAUCUUG